GCCGGAGUGGCGGAACCGGGAGAGGCGACGGAUUCAAAAUCCGCUUCCCUUUUUGGGUGUGUGGGUUCGAGUCCCUCCUCCGGCA
This 85-nucleotide transfer RNA is filed under the name Caldifarciminota bacterium. RNAcentral's name for it is "tRNA-Leu". It matches the Rfam family "tRNA". From Rfam's summary of the family: Transfer RNA (tRNA) molecules are approximately 80 nucleotides in length. Their secondary structure includes four short double-helical elements and three loops (D, anti-codon, and T loops). Lineage: Bacteria; Pseudomonadati; Caldifarciminota. The record is from RNAcentral.